UACAGAGGGUGCAAGCGUUGUUCGGAAUUAUUGGGCGUAAAGGGCGCGUAGGCGGUGCUGUAAGUCUGUGGUGAAAUCUCUGGGCUCAACUCAGAGACUGCUUCCGAAACUGCUGUGCUGGAGUGUGGGAGAGGCGCGUGGAAUUGCAGGUGUAGCGGUGAAAUGCGUAGAUAUCUGCAGGAACACCCGUGGCGAAAGCGGCGCGCUGGACCACUACUGACGCUGAGGAACGAAAGCUAGGGGAGCAAACAGG
Molecule: ribosomal RNA, 253 nt
Filed under: uncultured bacterium
Lineage: Bacteria
Description: partial 16S ribosomal RNA
Rfam family: Bacterial small subunit ribosomal RNA
Source: RNAcentral